UACGGAGGGAGCUAGCGUUGUUCGGAAUUACUGGGCGUAAAGCGCACGUAGGCGGCGAUUUAAGUCAGAGGUGAAAGCCCGGGGCUCAACCCCGGAACUGCCUUUGAGACUGGAUUGCUAGAAUCUUGGAGAGGCGGGUGGAAUUCCGAGUGUAGAGGUGAAAUUCGUAGAUAUUCGGAAGAACACCAGUGGCGAAGGCGGCCCGCUGGACAAGUAUUGACGCUGAGGUGCGAAAGCGUGGGGAGCAAACAGG
Molecule: ribosomal RNA, 253 nt
Filed under: uncultured bacterium
Lineage: Bacteria
Also listed under: 2 other names
Description: partial 16S ribosomal RNA
Rfam family: Bacterial small subunit ribosomal RNA
Source: RNAcentral